AACCGGAAGUGGGGAGCGCGGAGAGAAGGUCGCGCAGAAGCGGGAUAGACCUCUAAACAUUCAUGUUGUCUAAGGAAGAAGCCCUUAAGAGGCGAAAGAGGAAAGAACUGGAGUCUGCAAUGGCUCUUUCUCAGGGGACACAGGUUCGAGCCCUGGUCUGGGAAGAUCCCACAUGCCGCGGAGCAACUAAGUCCGUGCGCCACAACUACUGA
Molecule: long non-coding RNA, 212 nt
Organism: Eubalaena glacialis (North Atlantic right whale)
Lineage: Eukaryota; Metazoa; Chordata; Mammalia; Artiodactyla; Balaenidae
Exons: 3
Source: RefSeq, a predicted model, not a curated record